RNAcentral lists this ribosomal RNA (497 nucleotides) under uncultured bacterium. Its description in RNAcentral is "partial 16S ribosomal RNA". It matches the Rfam family "Bacterial small subunit ribosomal RNA", at positions 28 to 507 of the family's 1533-position model. The record is from RNAcentral.
GAUGAACGCUGGCGGCGUGCCUAAUACAUGCAAGUCGAGCGAACGGACGAGAAGCUUGCUUCUCUGAUGUUAGCGGCGGACGGGUGAGUAACACGUGGAUAACCUACCUAUAAGACUGGGAUAACUUCGGGAAACCGGAGCUAAUACCGGAUAAUAUUUUGAACCGCAUGGUUCAAAAGUGAAAGACGGUCUUGCUGUCACUUAUAGAUGGAUCCGCGCUGCAUUAGCUAGUUGGUAAGGUAACGGCUUACCAAGGCAACGAUGCAUAGCCGACCUGAGCGGGUGAUCGGCCACACUGGAACUGAGACACGGUCCAGACUCCUACGGGAGGCAGCAGUAGGGAAUCUUCCGCGAUGGGCGAAAGCCUGACGGAGCAACGCCGCGUGAGUGAUGAAGGUCUUCGGAUCGUAAAACUCUGUUAUUAGGGAAGAACAUAUGUGUAAGUAACUGUGCACAUCUUGACGGUACCUAAUCAGAAAGCCACGGCUAACUACGUG